This 235-nucleotide long non-coding RNA is filed under the name Elaeis guineensis (African oil palm). RNAcentral's name for it is "long non-coding RNA (EGUI_LNC032585)". The record is from RNAcentral. Lineage: Eukaryota; Viridiplantae; Streptophyta; Magnoliopsida; Arecales; Arecaceae.
AUUUAUUUUUCAAAUUGACAUGAAUCACAAAUUUUAUUCUUUUCAAAUUUUAUCUUUGGUAAGUCUUUUACAAAGUUUCUUUUUAUAAGUUUUGAAAUCAAAUCAAUACUAGCAUGUUCUAAUAUAUGUUGCCACAACCAACUAGUCUCAUUAAUUUUAGUAUCAAUUGCAAGUACAUAUUCACCAUUCUUCAUAAAGAGAUCAUCUAAAUUAAUUAUAUAGUUAUUGCCAUGUC